GAUGAACGCUGGCGGCGUGCCUAAUACAUGCAAGUCGAGCGAACAGACGAGGAGCUUGCUCCUCUGACGUUAGCGGCGGACGGGUGAGUAACACGUGGAUCACCUACUUAUAAUACUGGGAUAACUUCGGGAAACCGGUGCCAAUACCGGAUAAUAUAUUGAACCGCAUGGUUCAAUAGUGAAAGACGGCUUUGCUGUCACUUAUAGCUGGAUCCGCGCCGCAUUAGCUAGUUGGUAAGGUACCGGCUUACCAAGGCGACGAUGCGUAGCCGACCUGAGAGGGUGAUCGGCCACACUGGAACUGAGACACGGUCCAGACUCCUACGGGAGGCAGCAGUAGGGAAUCUUCCGCAAUGGGCGAAAGCCUGACGGAGCAACGCCGCGUGGGUGAUGAAGGUCUUCGGAUCGUAAAGCUCUGUUGUUAGGGAAGAACAAAUGUGUAAGUAACUAUGGACGUCUUGACGGUACCUAAUCAGAAAGCCACGGCUAACUACGUG
Molecule: ribosomal RNA, 497 nt
Filed under: uncultured bacterium
Lineage: Bacteria
Description: partial 16S ribosomal RNA
Rfam family: Bacterial small subunit ribosomal RNA
Source: RNAcentral